This 393-nucleotide RNase P RNA is filed under the name Ferruginibacter sp. RNAcentral's name for it is "RNase P RNA component class A". It matches the Rfam family "Bacterial RNase P class A". Rfam says of the family: Ribonuclease P (RNase P) is a ubiquitous endoribonuclease, found in archaea, bacteria and eukarya as well as chloroplasts and mitochondria. Lineage: Bacteria; Pseudomonadati; Bacteroidota; Chitinophagia; Chitinophagales; Chitinophagaceae. The record is from RNAcentral.
UCUAUCAGCCAGGUCAUCGUUCUCCCUUAAGGGGAGGAAGGAAAGUCCGGACAGCAAAGGGCAACACACCGGUUAAGCGCCGGGGCCCGCUGAAUUGCGGGAACAGACAGUGCCACAGAAAAUAACCGUCCCGAUGGCAACAAAAGGAUAAGGGUGAAAACGUGAGGUAAGGGCUCACGAUUAUUACGGGUAACCGUGAUAGUGGGUAAACCUUGUGUGCUGUAAUGCCAUGUACACCAGCGCCCGAGAGCGGCCCGUUCGAUGUCGCAGUGAAAUGUGACAGCGUUGGAGGGUAGGCAGCAAGAUCAUAACAGUAAUGUUAUGGCAAGAUAAAUGAUGGCCAUCCCGAUUUUAUCGGGAGCACAGAAUCCGGCUUACCGGCUGAUAGAUUUU